This 489-nucleotide ribosomal RNA is filed under the name uncultured bacterium. RNAcentral's name for it is "partial 16S ribosomal RNA". It matches the Rfam family "Bacterial small subunit ribosomal RNA", at positions 28 to 506 of the family's 1533-position model. The record is from RNAcentral.
GAUGAACGCUAGCUACAGGCUUAACACAUGCAAGUCGCGGGGCAGCAUGGGGGUUGCUUGCAAUCCCCGAUGGCGACCGGCGCACGGGUGAGUAACGCGUAUCCAACCUGCCCUUCACCACGGGAUAACCCGGCGAAAGUCGGACUAAUACCGUAUGUUGUCCAUUGACGGCCUCCGAUUUGGACGAAAGGUUUGGCGGUGAAGGAUGGGGAUGCGUCCGAUUAGCUGGACGGCGGGGUGACGGCCCACCGUGGCGACGAUCGGUAGGGGUUCUGAGAGGAAGGUCCCCCACACUGGAACUGAGACACGGUCCAGACUCCUACGGGAGGCAGCAGUGAGGAAUAUUGGUCAAUGGGCGUAAGCCUGAACCAGCCAAGUAGCGUGCAGGAUGACGGCCCUAUGGGUUGUAAACUGCUUUUAUGCGGGGAUAAAGUGGCCCACGUGUGGGUUUUUGCAGGUACCGCAUGAAUAAGGACCGGCUAAUUCCGU